This 630-nucleotide ribosomal RNA is filed under the name Triticum aestivum (bread wheat). RNAcentral describes it as "partial small subunit ribosomal RNA". The record is from RNAcentral. Lineage: Eukaryota; Viridiplantae; Streptophyta; Magnoliopsida; Poales; Poaceae.
AUGGCGGUUCCUCUGGUGCUCGUGCUCUUGGUCGCCAUGUUCACCGGCUCAGAUGCCAUGUACUGCGUGUGCAAGUCGGACGCGAACCCGGCGGCGAUGCAGAAGGCCAUCGACUACGCGUGCGGCAAGGGCGCCGACUGCACCCAGAUCACCUCCAGCGGGCCCUGCUUCCAGCCCUCCUCCGUCGUCGCCCACUGCUCCUACGCCUGCAACAGCUACUACCAGAAGAACGCCGGCAUGGGCGCCACCUGCGACUUCAUGGGCGUCGCCACCCUCGUCGCCGCCGACCCCAGCGCCGGAUCCUGCAAGUACCCCGCCAGCGCUAGCGGCGUAGGCACCGGAGCAGGCACCGGCGGCAUGGGCACCGGCGGCACAGGGAUGGGCACCGGCGGCAUGGGCACCGGCACAGGCAGCACCGGGACAGGCACGGGCGUCAGCACCGGCGGCAUGGGGAGCAUGACCCCGCCGGGCGCGACCAGCACCGGGAUGCCGGGGAGCCCCUUCGGCGGCGGCGCGUACGGCCCGUCGGGCAUGAACCAGGACUACAACGCAGCCGCCGUCGGUCGCCGCGUGGCCUCCGCCGGGCUUCUCGUGGCGGCAGCCGCGCCGCUCCUCCUCCACCUCAUCUGA